This 354-nucleotide long non-coding RNA is filed under the name Elaeis guineensis (African oil palm). RNAcentral's name for it is "long non-coding RNA (EGUI_LNC005480)". Lineage: Eukaryota; Viridiplantae; Streptophyta; Magnoliopsida; Arecales; Arecaceae. The record is from RNAcentral.
AUUCCUCGAGGGUGCCUUCAUCGGUGGGGGUGCCGUAGGUACUCUACUCCUUCGAUCUCCAUGAGAAUCUGCAUACGAAAAGUAGAGAGAGGAGUAUAGGAGUCAUACCUAUCAUAGUUCGCUUCGAACUCCGACAUCAGGAUGAAACUCGCUUAUUGAAAGAUGGUCGACUUGAUUCGGUCAGAGCUCCAUCUUUUUUCUAUUUCUUCUUCUGACUCUUGCCUUCUGUCUGGCAUCGGUCAGAAGUAGUCUCGUCCGCACGAAUGUACUUGUAUGCAUAUUUGAGAAGUUCGACAUAGGUCUGGGGGAGAGUUUUGUCCAAGAAGUAUGCGAAUCUGAAUCCCCUCAGACCCC